Molecule: non-coding RNA, 2062 nt
Organism: Oryzias latipes (Japanese medaka)
Lineage: Eukaryota; Metazoa; Chordata; Actinopteri; Beloniformes; Adrianichthyidae
Source: RefSeq, a predicted model, not a curated record
CUUUGGUCCCCAUCUGCCCUGAUCGUGUUCACCUGUGUCUUGUCUGCCCUGUCUGUAUAUAAGUCUUGUCUCUGCCUUCCUCCUGUGUUGGUUCAUUACCCCAUUUAUGGUGUUCAUGCCUUGUCCCUCGCCAUGCCACAGUAAGUUUUAGUUUUGUUUUGUCAUCCUGCUCUGCAGCGCUUUUUGUUUCUAUUAAACCCCUUGCCCCGGAACUGUGUGCCUCCUGCAUCUGCAUCUGGGUCUUACCGGCUCUCGAGCCCUCCCCACAUGACACAUAAGACUUUCUUCAUCCCACGAUGAGGAAAUUCUUUUGUCUGCAGAAGUAAAGUGACAUUCAACAGUGCAACAGUAUUAAAGAACAGAAGAACAUCUUUAAAUUACUCCACAAUGAAGUUACAUUGAAAUGAAACUAUGAAAGUACACAACAAACAAUGAUGCCCGUUAAAAGAACCAAAACGACAGAAACAACAACAGCAACAACAAAUGAAAUUCACCAUGUAGGUGUAACCAUAGUGUGUAACUGUAGUACUGUUUUGUAUGGUCUGAUGGCUGUGGGGAGGAAUGACCUGCUGCACUUGCACUUCCAGAAACGGUUGCAGAGGGCUCCACAAUUGAGCCCCCAGCACCGAACAAGUAUCAGAACAGGUUUUUCAACACUAAAAUGCAAUGAAAUAAUAAACCUACAAAAUCUUUGUCUUCAGCUCCUAUUGUUGUCAGAUCCUGUCUUUGACCUUUUCUGUAUAGAGAUUCAUGUUUUCGCCUGUGUUUUAGCAUUUUGUCUGGCUUUAGCUGCUUUCUCAUCAUUUGGUCCUAUGCUCCUGCCUCUCCUGAAGACCUUCACAGUCCCAAUCCUGGACUCAUUGCAGUUUGCCAACUUAAUCAACAGAUCCAUGGGCGAUGCAGUGAAUCUGUCACUACUCUUAAUGCUGCAGCAUCUGGACUCCCCAGGAUCCUACGUCGUUUAGGACAAGCUACAUCAACCUCACAUUCCUGACUCAUGUCUUUAUGACAAACUGCAGGCAGUAAGUGCAACUGGGAAAGACCAUCUCAGAGACAGUGACCAUCAACACCAGAUCCCCCAAAUGUUGUGUACUUUCCCCUCUGCUCAUCUCCAUGUGCUGUAGUUGUAGAGAGACUUUAUUGCCAUUAUGUUUUUGCUUGCACAAUGCAGCCACAAGUGGGCGCAAUGCAUUGCUUUUCUAUGUUGGUUUUCUGCGACUCCUUUCCUUGAAAUUCUCUUACCACCAUUCUCCGUGUCAAUGUGUACCUUGACAUGGUCAUUAAAGAAAUACUAGAUGUGAUGAGUUACUAAACCUUUCAUUGAUAUUUUAUUGUAAUAACAUUCUUUUUCUCUGAGCACCACAUGUGCUUUGUUUUGUUGUCCACAGAGAGAGAUUGAUCAAACUUUUGUUUCAUAUGUCGGGAUUUACUUGACAUGGGACAAUGAACAUAUUAAAUGGGAACCCAAAGACUUUUGUGGAAUUUCAAAUAUUGCAGUUCCAAAUGAAGCUUUAUAGAAACCUGAUCUGACAGUUGAAGAGAUGCUUGCGCUGAAAUUCCUGCAAGUGCCCCCGCGCAUGUAUUGCUGCAUCUCUCUGGCGACGCUGUGGGACGCGUUGCCAUGGUGAUGUCUGCUGGAGUUGAAAUGGAGGAUUUUCUUCUGCGGUGUGGUCCACCUCUGGUUGGUCCAGCCGCCCUCUCUGGCGCAGAUCAUUCUCAACCUCCUCUGCGCUGUUAUCUUUCUGCGCCCAGUUCUCCUGAUUUUCUCCUUUUUUUUCAGUGCAGGUUUAACUUCUCUGUACUCCUUGCAUUUCUGGACCACCUCUGAUGUAUAGUCCUGGUCGAACAAUUAGAACUUGUCUCCCAGCUGGAUUUCUUCUUCCAUGCGUUCUCAGGAAACGUUUUUUUCACCUUGUACUGCAGGAAACCGAUGAUCAUGGAUCUUGGUGGCCCUCCGGGGCCUGGCUUAGGGGCAAGAGAGCGAUGAGCUCGCUAGAUUUGCAAAUCCGUUCCCUCCUGAAUCAGUCCUUCACUUAUUAUCAGCUUUUCCACAAACUGAAUU